GGAAAGAAUUAAUUUCCGAAGUUUGCGGGCUGCCUCCGGGCGCCCAACCUCCCACCCGUGACUACCUAACACUGUUGCUUCGGCGGGGAGCCCCCCAGGGGGCGAGCCGCCGGGGACCACUGAACUUCAUGCCUGAGAGUGAUGCAGUCUGAGUCUGAAUACAAAUCAGUCAAAACUUUCAACAAUGGAUCUCUUGGUUCCGGCAUCGAUGAAGAACGCAGCGAACUGCGAUAAGUAAUGUGAAUUGCAGAAUUCAGUGAAUCAUCGAGUCUUUGAACGCACAUUGCGCCCCCUGGCAUUCCGGGGGGCAUGCCUGUCCGAGCGUCAUUGCUGCCCUUCAAGCCCGGCUUGUGUGUUGGGUCGUCGUCCCCCUCGGGGGACGGGCCCGAAAGGCAGCGGCGGCACCGUGUCCGGUCCUCGAGCGUAUGGGGCUUUGUCACCCGCUCGAUUAGGGCCGGCCGGGCGCCAGCCGGCGUCUCCAACCUUUUUUUCUCAGGUUGACCUCGGAUCAGGUAGGGAUACCCCGCUAAACUUAAGCAUUUCAAAUAAGCGGAGGAA
This 558-nucleotide unclassified non-coding RNA is filed under the name Aspergillus violaceus. RNAcentral's name for it is "partial contains ITS1, 5.8S rRNA and ITS2". The stretch from base 174 to 327 matches the Rfam family "5.8S ribosomal RNA". The record is from RNAcentral. Lineage: Eukaryota; Fungi; Ascomycota; Eurotiomycetes; Eurotiales; Aspergillaceae.